This 339-nucleotide unclassified non-coding RNA is filed under the name soil metagenome. RNAcentral's name for it is "partial contains 5.8S ribosomal RNA, internal transcribed spacer 2, and large subunit ribosomal RNA". The stretch from base 1 to 120 matches the Rfam family "5.8S ribosomal RNA", at positions 35 to 154 of the family's 154-position model. The record is from RNAcentral.
GAUGAAGAACGUAUCGAAAUGCGAUACGUAGUGUGAAUUGCAGAAUUCAGUGAAUCAUCGAAUCUUUGAACGCACAUUGCACCUCUCGGUAUUCCGGGAGGUAUGCCUGUUCGAGCGUCAUUUGUACCCUCAAGCUCUGCUUGGUGUUGGGUGUUUGUUCCGCCUCUGUGUGUGAACUCGCCUCAAAACAAUUGGCAGCCGGCGUACUUGUUUCGGAGCGCAGCACAUUUUGCGAUCCAGAUCAACGUACAGCGGCAUCCAAGAAGCCUUAUUUAACGCUCUUGACCUCGGAUCAGGUAGGGAUACCCGCUGAACUUAAGAAUAUCAAUAAGCGGAGGA